CUUUCUCCGCCGGCGACCGGCGCACGGGUGAGUAACACGUAUGCAACCUCGCCCCUGUCGAGGGGGACAACCCGCCGAAAGGCGGGCUAAACCCGCGUACAUGCCACCGGGGCAUCCCGGAGGCAGGAAAGGCUUCGGCCGGACAGGGAUGGGCAUGCGGCGCAUUAGGCAGUAGGCGGGGUAACGGCCCACCUAACCGACGAUGCGUAGGGGUUCUGAGAGGAAGGUCCCCCACACUGGUACUGAGACACGGACCAGACUCCUACGGGAGGCAGCAG
This 278-nucleotide ribosomal RNA is filed under the name uncultured bacterium. Its description in RNAcentral is "partial 16S ribosomal RNA". It matches the Rfam family "Bacterial small subunit ribosomal RNA", at positions 79 to 354 of the family's 1533-position model. The record is from RNAcentral.